GGAAUUCCUGUAGUCCUUCAGGGGGGCUUUGUUCGGAAGAAACUGUUGUAUUUUGGAUGAGGGAUUGAAAUAUAGAGACGAAAAGUAGGGUAAGGAUUUGGGUUCUUUUCUAGGCUCAGGCAGCUCCUCCAGGGCAUCAGCUCUCACCCACAGAAAACUUGGGGCAGGAGAACUUGAGAGAGAGAGUGAGGGCAACUCCUGGUUCAGGGGUCCAGGGGUCUGUCCUGUCCCAGAUCCAUCAUUCAUCAUGGUUGUGACUCUUGGACAGUCACUUAUCUCUCUAAAUUUCCACACCCUCCACCAUAACAUAUGGGUUACAGCCCCCACUUUGCCCUCCCCUUCACCCCCAACAGGGCUGGGUGUCAGACAUGAUAAUAGAUAUUCUCCAUGAGCUGUAAAGCAUUGUUCCCAUGAAAAAGCUGAAGAGUAAGCUUGAAUCCCCCCUUUACUUGGAGCCAUCAAAUCCCUUCCCUGCUUUCAACAGCUACGAAAUGUCCAGCUUAUUCUGCCAUCAUUCAGGAUUGAACACUUAUAGAGCAUUUGUGAAGCACCGGUCCUUUAUUUUUCAAACAUUUUACCUAUAUUUAAUCAUUUUUGGCAUAGCAUGACAUAAUGCUAAAAGUAGGCCAUAUUAACAUUUAUACAUCUCAGAACAGGGAACUGAGCCAAAGAGGGAUCUACAUAUCUUUCCCAAGUACAUGCUUAUUCUAAACGGGAUUUGAAUCCAGUCCAUCAGUCAUGGUCCCAAUGGUUUGCUGAGUUUCUAGACGUUCUCAGUUAAAUAAAGAUAUUUGCCCACAAAACCUGUCUGUUGGGUGUUUUCAUUACACACCAAACUGCAAGAUCUUCCUAAGUCCAACUUUGAUUCAGGAGGCUCUGCUGGGCAGCUGGUGAGAAAAGGGACCAAAGGAUUGAACUGUGAAUAAAUUAUUGCUAAUUUCCCCAUGGUCUUCUGCCAGCAAGAUGUCAAUAGUUGUCUCUAUUGUAAUGCAUUUCCCAGGAUUCUGCUUCCAGAAUGCGAGAAGAAGAAACACUGAUCGGAGGUCAAGAAUAUCAACCCCAGGCUGGGUGAAAAGGAUCCACAUCCGGCCACAUUUUAGGGUGCACCCUAUAAAUGACCCAGCUGAAGAGCCCCCUGAGGACCUAUUGGAGGAACUGCCCUAUGUGAGGGCAGAGGAAGAGGCUUCAUCUCCCUCCAGGGUGGAUGGGACAGCAAAGAAAAACAGUAUGUAUUCAGAGAUCCCCCCUCUGCUGAGGAACAAUCUAGUUGAUGAAGAAGGUGGGACUCUUGCUGGCUUUGCUUGGAGAGACACCCUGAUUCAUGGUCCCUACAGGGAUGAGGGCUGGGGGUGUAGAGCUAGAGACUGAUUUCCCAGUAAAGAGCUAUGCCCAAGUUCUAUGUUCCUGGAAGUAACUGCAUCAUUUAGAUGAUGUGGGUUUGUGUGUAUCAGGGUUGGGGUGGGGUCCAUGUGUGAGCCUAUGUGGUGUGAUUGUGAACCUGCAUGCGUGAGUGUGUGUGUGUUUUCUCAGGAGAUAUUUCCCUCUUACACAGCACAAUUCGCCUGUCAAAAUCUCAUCACCACUGCACACUGUCUGUACAUUACCUUGUUCUUCCCUCAGCACACCUGUUGCCCAGGUUUGGUUAAUAUUCCUUUUCCUCAGAAGGAGAUGGUGCAGAGAUAAAUGUUCUAAGCUGUUGACCUCCUAAGUGGAAAAGCCAAACUGAGAACCCAGGGGUGGGUCCCAAUGUGGAUGCUCUGGACCCCUGACCUGCACUUACCACUCAGCCAAGGGAUCCUCAGUCAUGGAGCAAGGGAGUCCCUGCAUCCGUGUCCAUGACUGGAAGCACUAGCAUCUCCAAAGGUCCAGACCUUGCCCAUCAGGUGGCCUUAGUGGUCACAGAACCCAGGGCAGCUAUGGGUGGACUUAUCAGUUGACUUUGGCACAGUCAUUAGUGUGAAAUUCACCUCAGGACCUGCAUUCUCCUGGUCAGCUCACAGAUUCUGAGAGGUGUGAGACCCCAUGUGUACAGUACAGGUCAUAUCUGUCAGUGCUGGUGUCAUUGCUUAAACAAGGCCAAAAGCAGAUAAGAAUCAGGGAGAUAUUUUAUUGUAUUGGAUAACAUUACCAUAAGCCUUAGAAUUGGUCAUCUCCUGUAGCCCACACCCAAGGACUCAAAGUGCAACCUGAUUGUUAGCCUGUACAAAUCUCCUGCACAGCUGGGUUAGAGACAGGCUGUGCUCAGUCCGUGCUCCCUCUUCAUAAUGAAGUGUCCCACCUAUGGAACAGCCCUCUAGAGUAUGGACAGCCCCUGACUCAGUGGACAUAUGUACAUUGUAUAGAAAACAAAGACUGGGAGAAAAAUAUGAUAUGAUUGAUAGUGGCUGUAUCUAAAUGGUAGGAUUUCAGUUUUGUCAAAUCUUGUGUAUUUGAUUUUCUUUAAGACAAGUGAUUAGUGAAUAAAUAUAGCAUAUUUUGUCUAGGAUUGAAUUCAGUCCUUUAAUAGAGGUUGCUGUUAAUCAACUAUAAAAUAUUAUACACUAGAAGACAUGAUAAAUACAGUAGCUGGAAUUGUGGAUGCUGGGGGAAGAGUGAUCUGGGAAAAAUCAGGAGACAGUGGCAAUUUAGCAGAAGCUCAAAACAGGCAGGAUGGGUCAUGGGUCUCUGUCAUUGAAACAGAGCAUGCAUUUUAGGAUUUACCAUUUUUUAGAUCGACUCUUCCCUUUUGAUUAGGCUCCCCUUAGCUAGAAAGCCAAAGCUCUGUUUUCAUUUCCUUCCUCUUGUCCUUUGCCUUCCUUCAUCCCCCAAAGAGGAUGGCCCAACACCAGCUCAGCCCACACUUACUAACCUCCCACAUCCAUACACACCACCCCACGUCCUCAUCGAGAAGAAAGCCCCUGAGUAACUCCUGAGCAGCAUCACCAGUGUCCUGACACUUACUCUGUGCCCCUCCAGCUCUCCCUGAGGAUGUGGCGGAUGACCUGCACUGUGAUAGGACAGAAGAAGAGGUGCUGUGUAUCCACAAGGUGGUCUUCACAGAACAUGAAAAUGAAUGGAUCCUGGAGAGCAUACGUAGCAGUGAUGCUGAUGACAAUUCAGAAUACUACAUGGCAGAUGACGAAGCUUCUAACAAAGAGAGCAACGAGCUGAUGAUGUCAAGAUAUUCUCUGCUUGUCUUGAGAGAAAUUUUGGGGGAAGUCACUGCUGAUGAAGAGGAAGACCAGGAAGAGGAAGCAUGAACGUGGAGGACUGGGGGUGAAAAGGUUCUGGACUCACGCCUGGAAAGGCCUGGACCUGGAGCCCAGGAGCGUCAUCUGAACCGAGAUCGGGAGCGACGUCACUUCUAGUCUCCUGAGGCCUCUUCAUUUAAUACAAGCUCGGUUGUUUCAUUGCACAGAUUUAGUAUUAGUUUUAGCUACAGUUUUAUCUGUUAUUUAUAUAUAUAUGUUCUCUAUGUUCAAUAUGUAUCUAUAUGUUUGAUAUUUGUAUGUUUUUUUAUUAAAUUAUAUUAUCUAUCUAGUUGCUUUAAAAAUAAUUUUCUAUAAAAUAAAACACGUGUAUAGAAAAGCACCCUCAACAGAGGUAGAACUUAAUGAAUUGUUGUAAGGUAGUCACCCUGGUAUCUACCACCAAGAUCGCGCUCUCUCUCUCACACACAAUCCUUAUUCAGUCUAAGUUGAGUAAGGAACUGAAAAUUUUCUAUUUACCAUCUGUCCUUAUGUCACUUUCUAAGGAUUCUGUUUUCUGAAGUCUGUUCAUUCCAUUGUUCAUGGGAACAAUAUUACCCUAGAUCUUUCAUGACUUGAUGUCAGGACUUUCGAUAUUCAGUCUGCUUGGCUGGUAAAAAUUUCAUGAUUCAUCAUUUCUCUCCUUGCAUAUCUUAAAUAUGUUUCUCUAUUUUCUUCCGACACAGAGAAUUUCUCUCCGAAAAGGCUCUUAAAAUUCUAAUUUUUAUUCCCUUCUAUUUCUCCUGCGCUUUAAUUCUAGCUGCCCAAAGUAUUUUUAUUUUUAAAGCCUAGUAAUUUUUCCACAGUAUCAUUUGCUAUUGGUCAUUGCAAUUGAA
This is a long non-coding RNA of Orcinus orca (killer whale), 4063 nucleotides long. RefSeq lists it as uncharacterized. Lineage: Eukaryota; Metazoa; Chordata; Mammalia; Artiodactyla; Delphinidae. The record is from RefSeq and is a predicted model, not a curated record. The transcript has 8 exons.